GAACGUUGCUCAUCAUAUAUUUGCAGACUUGGAGAGGAUAUAUCGCAAUGUUAGGGGUCGGCUGUAGGAAUAAGAGCCUUGAUUAUAGUGAUGGUGGUGGAUUCUACUGCAGAGAUCAAAGUCUUCUUUUAGUUAUCAGUCAUUUUUAAUUAUGCUUUUGUUGUUGAGUCUGUAAGAGUCUUUUGGUGUUUUGAGUCUUGUUGUUUUGCCUUUUAUCCUAAAAAGUCUGUUUGAGUUAGG
This 240-nucleotide long non-coding RNA is filed under the name Nicotiana benthamiana. Its description in RNAcentral is "long non-coding RNA (NBEN_LNC042324)". The record is from RNAcentral. Lineage: Eukaryota; Viridiplantae; Streptophyta; Magnoliopsida; Solanales; Solanaceae.